This 2055-nucleotide long non-coding RNA is filed under the name Cotesia glomerata. RNAcentral's name for it is "uncharacterized LOC123271324". Lineage: Eukaryota; Metazoa; Arthropoda; Insecta; Hymenoptera; Braconidae. The record is from RNAcentral.
UUCAGUUGUUUUUUUUUUAUUAAAAUUAAAUUAAAUUCACGUGCAUACACACUCACACUUACACACACACACACAUUUAACCUUACAUCUUACCCACUCUUAUCUUUUUCUUUUCUUAUUUUUUAUUCACGAUCGGUUUCUUUUUAGGUUAUAGAGUCAUUUGUUUAAAAAUUAACUUCAACCCUCACUCAUACACACGCACACACACACACUUCUGGCUCUUUCUAGAAGAGUACUCUUACACACGCUCUUUUAGGAAGAGUUUUCUUACUCUUUCCCGUCCGUCCGUUUUUUUUUUAAUUAAAUUCUCGCGUCGUCUCGUCGUUUAUUAAACUGGGUUUAGUAAUCAGUUCGGUGGUUUUUUUUUACGUUUAUUUUAAUUGAAUAAUUUAUCGGGUAGUUAGCGUAGAGUCAGUCGCUUCGGUAAAUUUUUACAAGGCGUGAAGUUUCGUUGCUUGAUGAUGGUGCGCAACAUCAUCAUGCAUAUAAGAUCUUCCUGGGAAACCAAAUUAAUCCUGAUCCUUGCGAAUUAAUCAGGGAUUAAACAUGUUCACCCUUUGAGUGCCCGGGCGCAAUUUGGGUGACGGUUUAAUCUCUUUUUCAUUUUCUUUGAUCAAUUCUUUUGGUUUCCAAGUCUUAAAAUUUAUCGAACGGCAUUUUUAAAAUUAAUAAUUAAUAAAAAUAGAGUCAUUUGGUUGCUAACUAGCCCUUUUUGCUCCGCGAUUAGAUUUUUUACUUACAAUGAAAUUAGGUAGUAUACCAUCGAGCUGAUUUCGCGGUUCGCGGUUCGCGUGUUUUUUCUACUUAAAUUCUCUCGCGGUCUCUACCCUAUCUUUCACACAUUCUUUCACACACACACUCACACACACACACACUCAUCCUUACCACCCCCUUCUUUUUGAUUAAUUUAUUAAUAAAAUAAUAAAGUAGAGUCAUUUUUAUUUUUACCAGAAACCUAUAUCGUGCCUACUAGAGUCGCUUCUUUUUUCUUUUCUCACCCUCUCCUUGUCGUGAGAGCCAACUCACGACAAAAUCACCCCUUACACUUUCAUUCACCGGCUACCGUAUUUUUUCUUUUAAUAAUUUAAUUCAUUUUAUAAUAAAUGAACAAAAAAGUUAGAGUCACGCGUGCAGGCACAUACAAUCGACUCGCAAAAGUAUUUAAAACUACUUCUUGCGUUCGAUUCGUUGCCUUUUUUAUAAUGUUUUUUUAUAUUCGAUUUAUGAAUCAAUUUGACAUCCAUCACCAACCUCAUUAUUUGGCAUUGAAAACUACCGCGAAUUUUUUAAUUAGUUCGUUUCGGAAUUGUUAAUCGAUAAUGUCUGAUAAGAGAGCGUAACCUUCCAGGCGGUUCGACGUCAGCUUCUUCUUACCCCGGAUACAUAUUAUCCUGUCGUGAGGAUCUUUCGUUGAUUCUCGGUGUGACAAUCGAUUCGGCGAUUCGCUUAUCAACCGAUUUGAUAGCAAGCAAAAUGGCCAGCCAGUCAUUUUGCAAGCUCGACAAUCUGUUGUCACAUCGAUAUCAUCAAACAUUCAAACGGUGGGGUUAAAUAUAGACUCUGGGGUGAGAUAAGGGGUUGAUUAGUCGACCAAUCGGUGGCCCAACGCUCGAUACAUCAGCAACUAUCGUAUUGAUCGAUUCUUUUCGUUAUUAGUGUUUAAAUAAACAAUUAAUUAGUUUGAAAUCGAGGGGGUAUAAAAAGGGGGCUGUUAAUCAGUGUUUUAGUGUGUUUCAACAGGUACCCAUAAGGAUUCAACCAAGGAUGCGGAGGACAACAUAAUUCAACCAAGGAUUCAAUACGGAUGGACCAAUAAUCAAGGAUAGAGGAAGCCAAUCAACGCAGCCAACAAUAAAGGAUCAAGGAUUCAAAGGAUUUAAGAAUGCCACGAUUAAGCCAAGGAACCCUAGGAUGCAGACAAGGAUUCAAGGAGUCAACCAAGGACCAGCGAACAAAGGAAAGACAAGGACUACGGGAAAAAGGACCAGUGGACCAGCCAAAUGGAAGCGGGGACCAGGAGCACCAGGACUAGGAAUGGAGACCAACAGUAAACGG